RNAcentral lists this ribosomal RNA (492 nucleotides) under uncultured bacterium. RNAcentral describes it as "partial 16S ribosomal RNA". It matches the Rfam family "Bacterial small subunit ribosomal RNA", at positions 29 to 507 of the family's 1533-position model. The record is from RNAcentral.
AGUGAACGCUGGCGGUAGGCCUAACACAUGCAAGUCGAACGGCAGCACAGUAAGAGCUUGCUCUUACGGGUGGCGAGUGGCGGACGGGUGAGGUAUACAUCGGAAUCUACUUUUUCGUGGGGGAUAACGUAGGGAAACUUACGCUAAUACCGCAUACGACCUACGGGUGAAAGCAGGGGAUCUUCGGACCUUGCGCGAUUGAAUGAGCCGAUGUCGGAUUAGCUAGUUGGCGGGGUAAAGGCCCACCCAGGCGACGAUCCGUAGCUGGUCUGAGAGGAUGAUCAGCCACACUGGAACGGAGACACGGUCCAGACGCCUACGGGAGGCAGCAGUGGGGAAUAUUGGACAAUGGGCGCAAGCCUGGUCCAGCCAUACCGCGUGGGUGAAGAAGGCCUUCGGGUUGUAAAGCCCUUUUGUUGGGAAAGAAAAGCAGCAGGUUAAUACCCCGCGGUUCUGACGGUACCCAAAGAAUAAGCACCGGCUAACUUCGUG